UACGUAGGGGGCGAGCGUUGUCCGGAAUGACUGGGCGUAAAGGGCGUGUAGGCGGCCGAAUAAGUCUGGAGUGAAAGUCCUGAUUUCAAGUUGGGAAUUGCUUUGGAGACUGUUUGGCUUGAGUGCGGAAGAGGUAAGUGGAAUUCCCAGUGUAGCGGUGAAAUGCGUAGAGAUUGGGAGGAACACCAGUGGCGAAGGCGACUUACUGGGCCGUAACUGACGCUGAGGCGCGAAAGCGUGGGGAGCGAACAGGAUUAGAUACCCCUGUAGUUCCUGA
Molecule: ribosomal RNA, 277 nt
Filed under: uncultured prokaryote
Description: partial 16S ribosomal RNA
Rfam family: Bacterial small subunit ribosomal RNA
Source: RNAcentral